CCUGCACCUGCCGGCGACCGGCGCACGGGUGAGUAACACGUAUGGAACCUGCCCGCCACAGGGGGAUAACCCGGGGAAACCCGGCCUAAUACCCCAUGCCGCCCGGACCGGGCAUCCGGUCCGGGCGAAAGGAGGAAUCCGGUGGCGGCUGGGCAUGCGGCGCAUUAGCUUGACGGCGGGGUAACGGCCCACCGUGGCGACGAUGCGUAGGGGUUCUGAGAGGAAGGCCCCCCACCACUGGAACUGAGACACGGUCCAGACUCCUACGGAAGGCAGCAG
RNAcentral lists this ribosomal RNA (279 nucleotides) under uncultured bacterium. RNAcentral's name for it is "partial 16S ribosomal RNA". It matches the Rfam family "Bacterial small subunit ribosomal RNA", at positions 74 to 354 of the family's 1533-position model. The record is from RNAcentral.